AACGCACAUUGCGCCCCCUGGUAUUCCGGGGGGCAUGCCUGUCCGAGCGUCAUUGCUGCCCUCAAGCCCGGCUUGUGUGUUGGGUCUUGUCCCCCCCGGGGGACAGGCCCGAAAGGCAGUGGCGGCACCGUCCGAUCCUCGAGCGUAUGGGGCUUUGUCACCCGCUCUGUAGGCCCGGCCGGCUGCUUGCCGACCCCCAUCAAUCUUUUUUUCAGGUUGACCUCGGAUCAGGUAGGGAUACCCGCUGAACUUAA
This 254-nucleotide unclassified non-coding RNA is filed under the name uncultured Eurotiales. Its description in RNAcentral is "sequence contains 5.8S rRNA gene, ITS2, 28S rRNA gene". The stretch from base 1 to 52 matches the Rfam family "5.8S ribosomal RNA", at positions 103 to 154 of the family's 154-position model. The record is from RNAcentral. Lineage: Eukaryota; Fungi; Ascomycota; Eurotiomycetes; Eurotiales.